RNAcentral lists this long non-coding RNA (1095 nucleotides) under Macaca fascicularis (crab-eating macaque). RNAcentral describes it as "lncRNA (ENSMFAG00000060829.1)". Lineage: Eukaryota; Metazoa; Chordata; Mammalia; Primates; Cercopithecidae. The record is from RNAcentral.
GCCCCGCUUCUGCCUUUCAGAGCAUGGUCUAGAACGGGUGAGUCCUGGAAGUCUGCAUUGUGGACCCAGCUCAGGGGUAGCUCUGGCUUCACCUGGGCUUCAGAUGCAGGUGGGCAUGGCCCGGGCAUCACAGCAAAGAGCAAAUCGUCUGGGAGGGUGCUGAUUCUCACCCCUCAGAGCCUGAGAACCACAGAGACACCCCCCACCCCCUCCCACAUCCCACCCGUCAAGGGCAACGCCCAGACCUGGAGCUGUGCGCUCUCUGCCUUCUCUCCUCCUCUGGCCUCUCACCUCCUCUCCUCUUGGUCUUUUUCCUUCUCUCUGUCGCUCUGUCUCUGGCUCUCUCUGCCUCAGUCUUGUUCUCCGUCUCUCUGUGUCUCUCUAUCUCUCCAGGCAGCCCCAUUUCCUAUCUCUCUCUCUCUGAUCCUCCCACUCUUUCUCUAUAUCGAUCUGAUCCUCAUCCUCCCUCUUUCUUUCUCUCCUCCUCUCUCCCUCUUCCUCUCUGCUCCCUUGCCUCCCUUCCCUUUUCUCCCUCUACAUCUGCCUCCUUGUCGCUCUCUUCUUGUUUUCUCUCUGUGGCUGUCUCUCUCUUUGUCCGUCUCUCCCACUCUGGUCUCCUCUCGCUCCCUCUCGCCCUCUCCGGAGGAUGCUGCAGGAUCAUGCCAAGCCCAGAGGGAAGGUCAGGGCACCCUGCAGGGACCAGCACACCAUGAACCUGUCACUUCUGCCUCCAGCCUGGGAAAUAGCAGGGCUCAGGAAAGUCGAGGAAUUGCAGUCACUCUAGACAGAGCAUCUCAAUCAGGACUGACAACUGAAAGCAGAAGCCCCACAGUCAGAGGGCUGCAAACCUGCUCUGGGGCACUACGGACAACUGGCAUGGGUUUCUGGGCACCAGCUCUGCACUGCAGCCCUCUUCUGGCUUCAGGGCAAGGGGGCCAGAGGGAGAAUCUGGAUUCGUGUGGCCACAUUGGAGCUUCCCUUGCCUGCAGAAGAGAGGAGGAGGAACUCAGUGAGGCAAAAAACAAAAGUCUCAAACUCUACUCUCUGCAAGCUAUGAAUCAGCAUUUUUUAAUUGGCAAAUUUCCCAUGUUUUAA